This 458-nucleotide ribosomal RNA is filed under the name uncultured bacterium. RNAcentral's name for it is "partial 16S ribosomal RNA". It matches the Rfam family "Bacterial small subunit ribosomal RNA", at positions 28 to 523 of the family's 1533-position model. The record is from RNAcentral.
GAUGAACGCUGGCGGCGUGCUUAAUACAUGCAAGUCGAGCGGAAAGGCCCUUCGGGGUACUCGAGCGGCGGACGGGUGAGUAACGCGUAAGAAUGUACCCCAAAGUGAGGAAUAACUGCUCGAAAGAGUAGCUAAUGACGCAUGUGCUCUUCGGAGGAAAGCUGUAUGCGCUUUGGGCACAGCUUGCGUCUGAUUAGCUAGUUGGUAAGGUAACGGCUUACCAAGGCGACGAUCAGUAGCUGGGCUGAGAGGAUGACCAGCCACACUGGGACUGAGACACGGCCCAGACUCCUACGGGAGGCAGCAGUAGGGAAUUUUCCACAAUGGGCUAGAGCCUGAUGGAGCAACGCCGCGUGCUAGAUGAAGGCCUUCGGGUCGUAAAUAGCUUUUGUCUGUGACGAAUAUGACGGUAGCAGACGAAUAAGGAUCGGCUAACUACGUGCCAGCCGCCGCGGUAA